This 413-nucleotide non-coding RNA is filed under the name Enterobacter ludwigii. Lineage: Bacteria; Pseudomonadati; Pseudomonadota; Gammaproteobacteria; Enterobacterales; Enterobacteriaceae. The record is from RNAcentral.
UUCUUCAGGGUGCUUUCAAGCGGCUUAAUAUACAGGCUGUUGUUAUUGAGACGGACGUCGCCUUUGGCGGUGGUCAUUUCACCGUCGAGCGGGAUAUCAAGAUGUAAGCGAGCACUCACAUCGCCAUCCAGCUGCAGCUGCUGAAGGGUGGCUGCCAGUGACUCUUUCAGCGGCGUGUCUUCAAAAUAGGGGCCGACUGCUUUCCCGGGGCCGUUAAUGUCGGCAUCAAUCAAAAGCUUCUCUUUUGAGUAAUCCGGAAUGUUUGCCGUCAGGUUACUGGCCGUUACGCCGCCCAGCGCCACGUUGUCUGCCUUCAUCCAUAAUCCGUCAUUGAUAAAAUUAAGUUCAAUGUCGAGAUUUUUCAGCGCAGGCCAGCCCGGCUGGAAGGCGAAGGUGGCGUUAUGCAGCGGCAC